RNAcentral lists this Y RNA (98 nucleotides) under Catagonus wagneri (Chacoan peccary). Its description in RNAcentral is "Y RNA (ENSCWAG00000013990.1)". It matches the Rfam family "Y RNA". From Rfam's summary of the family: Y RNAs are components of the Ro ribonucleoprotein particle (Ro RNP), in association with Ro60 and La proteins. The Y RNAs and Ro60 and La proteins are well conserved, but the function of the Ro RNP is not known. In humans the RNA component can be one of four small RNAs -- hY1, hY3, hY4 and hY5. Lineage: Eukaryota; Metazoa; Chordata; Mammalia; Artiodactyla; Tayassuidae. The record is from Rfam by way of RNAcentral.
GGCUGGUCCGAGUACAGUUCUAUUUACAAUUGAUCACAGCCGCUUACAGAUUUCUUUAUUCCUUCUCUACUCCCACUCCUUCACUUGAGUAGCCCAAG